AUACGUAGGGUGCGAGCGUUGUCCGGAAUUACUGGGCGUAAAGAGCUCGUAGGUGGUUUGUCGCGUCGUCUGUGAGAUUCCGGGGCUUAACUCCGGGCGUGCAGGCGAUACGGGCAUAACUUGAGUACUGUAGGGGAGACUGGAAUUCCUGGUGUAGCGGUGAAAUGCGCAGAUAUCAGGAGGAACACCGGUGGCGAAGGCGGGUCUCUGGGCAGUAACUGACGCUGAGGAGCGAAAGCAUGGGUAGCGAACAGGAUUAGAUACCCUGGUAGUCCAUGCCGUAAACGGUGGGCGCUAGGUGUAGGGGUCUUCCACGACUUCUGUGCCGUAGCUAACGCAUUAAGCGCCCCGCCUGGGGAGUACGGCCGCAAGGCUAAAACUCAAAUGAAUUGACGGGG
Molecule: ribosomal RNA, 398 nt
Filed under: uncultured bacterium
Lineage: Bacteria
Description: partial 16S ribosomal RNA
Rfam family: Bacterial small subunit ribosomal RNA
Source: RNAcentral